UCCGUAAUUAAUCAUAAGGUGAUGCAGC
RNAcentral lists this small RNA (28 nucleotides) under Bombyx mori (domestic silkworm). RNAcentral's name for it is "ovarian small RNA-27576". Lineage: Eukaryota; Metazoa; Arthropoda; Insecta; Lepidoptera; Bombycidae. The record is from RNAcentral.